This is a long non-coding RNA of Papaver somniferum (opium poppy), 2894 nucleotides long. RefSeq lists it as uncharacterized. The transcript is spliced from 3 exons. The record is from RefSeq and is a predicted model, not a curated record. Lineage: Eukaryota; Viridiplantae; Streptophyta; Magnoliopsida; Ranunculales; Papaveraceae.
UCAUACGAUUUAUUCCUCUUGCGUGCCCUAGUUUGUUCGCUCUUUAAUUUCAAUGCCUUUAUUUGAUUAAUUCUUCAAUUUCAAUGCCUUAAUUUGAUUACUUCUUCAAUUUAGAAAUUAGGGCUUUUGUUUGUUUUGCUGAAUUUUUCAAUGGUGAAUCACUAUUAGUUGUGUAAUUGGAGAAGUACUUGUAGAUUUUUCUGAUUUGUAGUCAGUUGUUUAAUACUCCUUUCAGUUCAUAUCAGUUUAAAAACUGGCUUUUGCUAAUAUUCUUGUCCCUGUCUGCUUCCUUUGACCUUGUCUUUGUUUGUUCUUCAUAAGUGAUGUUUUGAUCUUCCAAUACUAUACCCUGGCUGUUAUCAUUCCCAAUUUAAUUCCAUAUAUCAACUCCUUUUGUAUAUUUGACUUCAUGUGGUAUUUGCUUGCCCUGCUAUGAGAUACUACUACAGGAUGAGUUGAUUCCUUACUUUCUUUUUUCUAACAUGUUGCUGAGACUUGUAUGUUAACCUGAUAUGAGAUACUACUACAGGAUGAGUUGAUUCCUUAAUGCUGCUUAGAGAUGUUAAUUUUCUGACCAACCAAUUUACGAUUGUCUUUAGAUGCCAACUGAAUUGCAUGAGGUUUCAGGUGUUAGAAUUGUCCUAGCCAAUUUCGUGAUGCUUAUAUAUAGUUAUGAUUUGCACUUCUACCUUUUAUACUACGGUUAUGAAGGGCUUUUAAAAUGAACUUGUGGCUGGUUUAAAGAACUUUUGCUCUAAUUAGGACACACUUUCCAAAUUCAUAACUAGCAAGUCUUGGAACAUGGUGCAUCUUAUUGGGAGUAACUUAUGUUUUGGAUUAUAUCUUACUUGUGAAUCCAAAAGUAGAUAUGGCUGAUUGUAUUUUCCUCCUUGUUAACAGGUACUCUAUAUGUGAUCCUAAAUUAUUUGCGUGAAAACCCGUUCGUAGUAGCCCUAGUUGUGAUUAUAAUAUUGUGUUUUAUUGAUGCACUGCUGUACCAUAAGAGAAACAGAAUAAGGAAUUUCUUCCGCCACCAACAGGUUCCUUUAGAUAUUCCUUUAGUUUUGCCCACUAUGGUUUUUGAUGGAACUCAACAUGAGAAAGAUGAGUGCAUGAUCUGUGUUGAAGAUUUUGAAGAUGGAGAUUUACUGAGCGUAAUGCCGUCGUAUGGGCAUUUCGCUCAUGAACAUUGUCUUCAGCACCAGUACGUCAACGAAAGGAAUGGUAAUAGUUGCCCUUACUGUAGGGCAACUAUUACCCUGCACCCAGUGGUUUAGUUAUACUUACCAGUACCUGUAAAUAAAUAAAGUACUGAAUACUCUUCUUAUACUCCUAUUAUUAUACUACUAAAGUAAAUAAAUAAAGUACUGAAUACUCUUCUUAUACUACUAAAUUUUGUUGGUUCAAAUUUGAAAUUAUGAUACUGUUGAAUGGUUCAUGGGGGGUGAUUUAAGGCAGUUGAAGAAUUGAACUGAGAAGACAAGAAGGGUAUGAUGGUGGUCACUAAAGCUGAACUGGACCAAGGAAAAUGGUAGAAUGGAGAAUAAGUUAGAAAGGUUGCUUCUGUAACUCGUAUUUGAAGAGAAGAAUGAAGAUCUGGUGCAAUGAGUCUGUGUUGUUCUCGAUUUUGAGAAGAACUGAGCAGCAAGGAACACUAAUGAAAAAAUUGAGGGAUUGUGUUGGUGCUCUUGAAGAACAAAUUCAGGGAUGGUGGAAUUGAAUCUGCAGGGGGGUUUGAACUGUGGAUGCUUCUUAGGGUUUGAGUUCUGCUGCAAUGAAGUAAAGGGAAUGAUGGAGCUAAGUAGAUGGUACGCUUUGCAACUGUGAUGGGAGGUUGCAGGUGGAAAUAAUGAUUUUUAUGGGUUUAUGGUGCUGUGGUUCAAUGUAAGGCAAAGCUGGGGAUGGAGCUGAUGGUUAUGAACUACAAGAUAAUGUUGCUGCCAUGUUGGUGACUGGCUGUGGAGACGACAAAGAACAGGGACUUCAAUUGAUCAAGAUCUUCAAAGAACAUUCGAACAAGACAUGUAUCCUUGAUGAUUUUGAAUUUUAUGAAGGCCAGCCAAAAAAUAAUUCAACAGAAGCGUGCCAAACAACAGAUCCCCAAGCAGGUUUGGGAUUCAAAACCCACCACUGAAUCUGCUGUUGUAGACACCAAUGAGAAGGCCAAAGAAGGUGCAGGUGCAAAUGGAAAAGUGAGUUCGCCAAAACCAUUAGAAGCUUCCUCAGUGUUGGUUAAUGAAUCACCUGUAAUUGAUGGAGAGGCGACAAAGCAACCGGAAGAGAAUGGAUCAGGAAAACCGUCUGCGGAUGCCGCCCUGGAAUCAAGAUAAAAGGGUCAAGGAGCUCAUACAAAAGCAUCUUGAUGCUGUGAUAUCCUCUUGCAAACUCCAUGAUAAGCUUUGUUCUAUCUGUGAUCAAGGUUUUGACGGAGGUGCAGAAGUUGCAGAAGUUCCCAUUCCUUAUGCCAUUAACUCGUGUUCUUCAACGCCUUGCACGGGAUAUGGGAUCAUCUGCAGCUUCUCACGUGAGACAAGGUCAGAGAAUGGAUCCAGAUGCUGCAGUCAGUUCCUCACGCCCAGUUAAUUUUUUUUGAUGGUUGCUGCUGCAGAGGUGGUAGUGGUUCUGGUAAUUGAAGCUGUGGCAGAAAUGGCUAGGUAGUUCUGGUUACAUGUGCUGGUGAAUUGCCAUCAUGGUGCAACACACAGUUACGCCUGUGCAAAUGGCCUAUUCUGUCUUGCAUGCUACUGCUAUGCCUUUUCACUGUUUUUUGGAAGGAAACUCAACCUGAGAGUCUGGUGGUGGGCUAUCUUCCUAAUUGCUGGUCAAUGUGUGUUUGUUGUUCAUCCUAUUACAAAGACUGGAUUGAAUAGCCUAUACACGCAAGUGUUUCAUGA